UAGAGUAUAAAUUUUGGAAAAUUCACUUGGAUUUUAAAGUGGGCAGCCAUCUUUUACUUUUGCAUUACAGCUUGUUUCAUUUGGAUUUAAAAUACUGUUCCCACUUGCUUCAGGAAUGACUAGAAAAUAGAUGGCAAUUUGGAGCAAUGUUAGAACCAAUUGGUGGAGAAAUUAACUUAAAACAUGGGUAUGAUGUGUGUUCUAAAUGUAAUGAUAACAAAUGUAAAGAAACACGUACAAAGUCAGUGUAGUACGUAAGUCCUAGGAGAACAACCAGAAGACAAGAAACUGUCUUUACUGGGGGAUUCAGCUUACAGUAAUUUUAAAUCUACUGACUGCAAUUUUUUUUUGCCACCAUUAGUAGGUAAGUCUAAUUACUAUUGUUUUUUGGUCUCUGAACAAUUACAUGGAGCAGAUUUUCUGCUUUUUGUGUCUUUUAGGAAUUUAGAUAUACAAAUGAAGGUCAUUAGUUUUUAACUUGCUGAAGGUUUCUGCCGUAGCAGAAUAGAUAUUUAUUUCUUAAUAGUUAGUUUUAAUUUCAGUGUAUUUCAUUGCAACUGAUAAUAGCUAUGCUAUCAUAGGAGGCAGUAAGACCUUUCUGACAUUGAUUUUGCUUGCAACUUCAUCCUUAUACUUGAUGGGAUGUAUAAAAGUAAUUCAGUCUCCAGGCUUGCUCAGUCCUGAUCUACUAUCAAUUCAAUUGAAAUAUGUCUACAUAGAGUGUAUUAUCUUUUUUUUUGGAAGGAUAACUAAGUGAAUUAAGCACAUGCAAUACUUAUCUUAUCACUGUCCAGGCAAACUUAUACUUUAUUGAUUUAUAGUGCCCUUCAUAAGCGUAAAGGUGUUCUACACUAUUUUAUGCACAUGGACUGCUUCAAGUACCUCUAAAAUGCAGCCACUUCAGUCAUUAAUUUGCUUUCAUACUUGAUUGUGCCCAUAGUCAACUGCUAGCUCAAAGCAGAUUCUUUAAAAACCUUUUUCAAGAUUCCUUACUACACUCUGUGCUAUUCAUAAGAGAUCAAAUCCUGGAGUUCUCACUAAUGUACUGCUUGACUUUGGAAGCACUGCAAACCUAUGCAUAAACAUGCUGGGUGUUGGUAUUCCUGUGCUUCACUGCUUGUAGCCCUGCUCUGUGCCUCCUUCCUUGGUAGCAUAGAAUCACAUAAUCACCAAGAUUGGAAAAGACCUCCAAGAUCAUUCAGUUCAAAUGUAACAUGUUGGCUUUUUCCUUGCUUGGUAAUGUUGGACCGCAAUGAGGGCAGUGGAGGGAAGGAGAUGUGUAUGAGAGCUGUCAGGUGAGCUGUACCCAGCAGGAUCUCCAAGGGUGCAGUAUGGGAUAGGGGUUCCUGCAUGUUCUUCCCGAUUUCUUCCUGUAAGUGUAAGGGACAAAUCUGGUUCUUGGGACAUAUUUAGUCUUCAUCCCAGGAAAUCUGUCACUGAAGACACUGGAGGUUUUGCCUGAGUAAGUAUUGAGUAAAGACUGAAGGCUUUGGCCUAACAUUUAUAUCAAAUAUAGCCUUCCCAAAUUCAUUAAUUCCUGUUUUAAAAUUAUAUUAUCCAUAUCUCUUUUUACUGUCCCUGACCCCUUUUGCAUACUCUCACUAUUAGCACUCCCAGUCACAGAUAUCUGGAAAUGCAUUCUAUCAUCGAUAAUACAUUCCACCUGGCUCAUAUUCAUAACCCGCUCCAAGGUACCGGGAUGGCGAGCAUGGCCAUGGGUUACUAAACACUGGAUUUAUAAAAUGUGAAGAAAGAAAUAUGCUGCACUUAAAAGUAUCAGAGCACAUUUUGCAGUGCGCUUGAUCUCUUGCACGUCGUCUUCUGCCACAGUCUGCAUUAAAAGCAAUUAAUAAUAUCUACUCCUGUGUGAGGAGCACUGGUGGAUUUUACCUAUUCUAUAUAUUUUACUUCUCAUGUGAUGAUGAAUAAAUUAAUCCUAUUAAUAUUUAAUUAACUUUAAGUUGAAAGGUGACAUCUAACUUAACCAAUUUACUGUUCUGUAGCUGGCUUAACUUUGGAUCAUGUGAUUUUAAUUCUUUCCGUAUGACCAGGUGACUUAAAAAGAAAAAAAAGGAAAUGCACAGAUUAAUUUCAUUCUUUAACCUUCCUAAUGCAUCUGCUUGCUUGCAUCGAGUCGCAGACAGCAGAUCAUCACAUGAUUUAUAGUAGUGACCGCUGCCUGCAUCUCUCAGGCUAAUGACACAUACACUAAAGUCAUUGAUUUGUAUGAAUAGCCUCCGCUCUUCAUUUAUCACAAUUUAAUGUAAGAGUUUGCAAUGCAGAAAAAAAUUUCACAUGGGAAGCAUGGCCCCACAGGCCUGACCGCUAAGCAGUUAUGAAUCAUUUGCUGCCUUUUAAUAUAUAGACUUUUCUAUUCCUGAAAAUGCCCUGUAAGGUCGUAUUUCUUUACAGAACAUCACUACAAUUAAACCCCAAAAGCAGGUGUUUUAACACAAAGUACAUAUGAAGCAUGACCAACUUAAACCUUUGUUAGCAUUUUCUCUUUCUCAUUUUUAAUACACCAUAAAAACCAAAGUUUAUCAUUGAUGUAAGCAGGGACAAUUCAUUUAACUUCAGCAGAACUGUAUCUGUUUUUGUUACUCCAAAUUUGACCCAUAAAGUUUAUUGAUUUGCCUUGGUAAUGUGCAGAACUCAAGCAAGAAUAGUGACCUAAGGUCAGAGAAGUGCUGUGAUGAAGUAGGAUUUGGCAAAUUGUUUUUUCCUCAAAUACAUAUAUUUUUAAAUCUCAAAUGUAACUUAUAAGAGAAUGAAUACUUUCUGAAAUGGAUUGCUUAGUACAAUUUACGUGACCUGUAUUUUCUUUUUAAAUAAAAAUUCAUACAUUGCUUUCAAUAGGAAAUGAAUAUUCCCAUGUAUGUUUCAUAUAGUAAUUUUAAAGAGAUGUGGCAGAUCAAAUAUGGAUUUAAAAAAAAACAUUCCUAUCUAAUACUUCAAGGAAUGCAAUUCAUAAUGUUAAUAUAAAUAUUCUUGAGCCCUUUUGUUCUAAAUGAUAAGUAAGAAUAAAGAAAUAGUUAUUCCUUAUUAGUGAGUAAAAAAAACAGGGAGGGCAAAGCAUUGAUUUCUGAUGUAUUUAUCAUGGAAUGAUAUAUAACCAAAAUACUACAAGUCUGUUUUCGGAGUCUUAGGUAGGAGAAAUGAUACUAGUAAUAAUCAAGUAUACUAUGUGAAACUUAGAAAAUAAAAUAUGCUUUCUUAAUAUCUUAUGCUAGCCUUUCAAUACUGUAUAAUCAGUGUUAGAUGAAAAAGAUGUUAGAAUGUUAUGUCUUUCUGAGAACAACUAUCUGUACAGAAACUGCACGUCUAACUGUGGGUUGUCAGGGUGUUGCAUUUUUGUGUCUGUGUAAUUUUUGUUUGUUUCCUUUUAAAUAUGAGAUAAAAAUCACAUGUCAGUAUUUGGAAGUUCUUCUCUAUGCACUAUUGCUGCUCACGUAUCACUGCUUUAGUUAGUGAAGUAGUGUUUGUUGUUGCAGAAAUGGGUACUGAAAAAGAAAACGAUACCUAUUCUGGAAAACACAAAUGUUAUUUUCCAUUGUUUGUAGCAUGGGGCACAGGACCAUUAUAUUUCAGAAAUAAGACAGAGUUCAGAUGACAUAUAUUCUUUUUUCUCAGGUGAGAAAUCAUUAAAUGAAGGGAAAAUGUGCUACAUGGCCACACAAGGGAGCCAGGUAUCCCAGUCAUUUUAAACUUUAGCCUUUGUUUCAUCAACAUCAAAUAUUAUUAAAUACAAAAGUGGCAAUAUUUUUAGAUGUGAAGAAAAAGUGUGACAAAGUUUCUACUGUAUGAGCCACUGACAUUGUCAAAUUAUUUACCCUUAAAAAUGCUUUUUGUAGGCAAAUGCAUUACAGAGACUGAAAGUUAUGCAAUUUCUGAACUUUUCUUGCAUCGCUUGGCUGGGACCAUGUGUUAGAAUAGCAGCACUUAAAAUGAAAAAGAGGAUUUGUAAUGAUCGCUCUGAAGUUUUACAUUUUAUCUGUAGAUCUUUUUGUAUGUUUAAUCGCUUCUUUUUUGGCUUAUUGGUAGCAUAGCAUGCGGUGAAAUGCAGGAAGAAACCAAGUAAAAAUGGAUAUAAAAGAACUUGGGCUACUAAUAAAGCAGCUUCAGAGAGAGGAACUGCAAAAGCAGCUGUGGGUUCAGGCUAAAUGUGAAGGACCGAGUAAAGCACUUGGCAGCUGCCCAGGUAAGGCUCCUUUCAGCCAUCAUGUGUCCUGGAGAUUGAGAACGGAAGUAAUGGAAGCCUUUUCAGAAGGAAAAUCUACCCCAAUUGGAUCCAAGCUAUGCCUGCCUUUCAUCUAUAGUUUGGUUUAACACAGCUGCUGCACAAGUAAGAAUGCAGGUUUCAGUAUGUUUAUUGUAUGUGUAGUGCAGCAAGUACAUAAGAGAAGUCUGCAGAAGAAGGUUAAUUGUAGUUAAUGCAAAGACUUCAAGCAGCUGGAUAAAAAGAUGAUAAUAUUUUAGCAUUUCCCUGUACUUUCCAUAAAAUAAAACUUUAAUUUUUAGCCCAGCUUUGGUACCCUUCACUUUGGAGGUGUUUCGAGUUCAUAGGAGCUCUGUGACCCAAGAACUUGCAUGCUGUAAUGCUGCAAAAGGCAAGUUCAAUUCUUCUUAGCAAACUAAAACAAGGAGGAAAAUGUUAAGAGGUUAAAAAAAUCAGAAAGUCUUCUUAGAUUUAAUUUCUUUGAUAUCUUUAGGAAAAAAAGCACAGCAGUGUAUAAUCCUUCAUCUUCAUGAUGUAGCCCAUGUGAACAUUCCCUUUCAGUUCACGUUCAUCGUGUUACUUCUGAAAAUAUUUCCAGUGCUGCAGUGUAGGUAAAUAUUGCUAUUAACAGUAAAGAGGAUAAUAGAUAUGCUAAGCAUAGACCAUCUACCUUAACUUUGAAUUUUGUAGCUUUUGAUAUGAUGUUUAUAACGUUCUUAUCAUGUUGCUGUGUGAGCAUCCUGCAACAACUAUAAGUUCAUGUUCAUUUCUUGUUGAAAAUAUUUAAUGAAAAUCUACACAAAGCACAUUGUUUAGCCAGGAGAUCAGAAUAUUUUCCUUUUCAUCAGUUGUAUUCUCUUGGGUCCCUCAGUCUCAAAUCCCUCUCGAGAGAAGGAACACCAGAGGGUUUCGAUUUGUGUUAAUUAUUUGAGACUUUCAAAAACCUCUCUUAUUUACUUGGUAAAUGCAUGUUUUCCUAAGUGUUUUUAAAUUAUUAUUUUUAUUAUCAUUGUUUUAAUAUUUUAAUUAUUCCUACAAUUAUUCCCACCAUAGGUUCUCUCAUUACUAUGUGUCUGGGUGCUAUUGGUUUCCUAAAGCAAAUGUUUGUUCUUUUUUUAAUUUCUCUUUUAAAUGAAAGAGCGCACGUUUUAGUCCUAAUUCAGGCAUUUGGCUCUUUUGAAGCACAGGAGAGUAGUCAGCCAGUUGGAUUACUCACAUGGCCACAGGCAGGUCUGCCAUGCUCUUGCCAUCUCUGCUUCAGUCUUGUUCUAGUGUGGUUAUGCCGGUUCCAAAUCGCUGUUGGCCUGUGUCCAGUUGUGUGGCUCCACAGACAGGCACAGCUGGGCUGCAGCUGUCCACACAACUACUUACACUUGUCCUAAGUCACAUCUUAGCUAUACAGCAUCCACUGCUGCCUGAACUGCUAAGAUUCGAUAUUGGCCCAUCUGCAAUAUUUGACAUAAUGUCAAAAAUAGAUCUUGUCAUGCCUUGACUGCCUUUUAGGCUUGCCUGAGUGACAGUUAUGGCAGUACAUUGGCAAUACAUUUGACAGAAAGAGGGAAGACUUCUAAGGAAAACAUGAUUUCAAACUGAGCACUUUGUGGCCAUAUGCAACACAAGCCAGGUAGUAAAAAUAAGCGCUCCUUUCUUGAGUCUAGAGCUAAUGUUUAGAUGUGACUAUAACAGAAACUCUUGUUCACUCUAUUUCUUUUCUAAUCUUGCUCCUAGAGGUCACAGGAUUCCCUCUUGCCAUAUGACUAGGGAUAUACUGACACAAUUUGUGUGUGUGUUUCAGUAUGCACAGGUACCUUCCGCAGAUUCCCUCUUUAUUUUGAUUUUUGAGUUUGGUUGCAGUCUCUUCUGGCACUAUGCAAGAAAAAGGUUCUGUUGAUUGUACAAAUCUUGCUGCAUGUUCUUGAGCAUCAUUUUUUGGUUUCUAAUCUAAGAACUUACAUUUGUUCAGUUCUUUUAUUGAAUUUGUCUAACAAAUGUUUCAAGCAUUUUUCAUCUUGCUAGCAAAAAGGUGUUUGUGAAUUGUAGAAAUAAAUGUAUUUUAAGAACUUCUAAACAAAAAUACCAUUAAACAGAAACUGAUUCUGUAAGCAGAUCUACCACAAAGUAUCUGAAAACUAGCAGUAGCUGUGCAACAGGCCCCUAAUAAGGACCUCCGAGAUGGCAUAAGCAUGCCUCUUCUAGACAUUCACUUGCACUUUUGUAAGCCCCAGGUCAUUUUUUCGCUGCAUUACAGAAAUAUUCUGCUGCCUCUCUAAACAAGCUGGUCGUCUUCUAAAAACAUAUUGGCCUUUUAGGCUCCUGGACAGUUAGCACUGUACUAACUAGUUUACCCUAAUAUAGCCAAUAUCUCCAUGCUGGUAUGGCAGUGUGGACUUAUGCCUUAUAUAUCAGUAGAAAAACUUUGUUCUGUUCAUCAUCUUUGUUCUGUUAUGUUAAUGUAGAAUCCUGCAGCUGGGGAAUGUUUGAAAGUUUCUGAAUUUACUAAGACAUCUAUUUCCUAUGGUUUCUAUUGACUUAAUUAAUUUAGUGACUAAUUCCCUCUACUCUAACCCACAGCAACACAAAGAAACAUGUUUCUAAGAAUACCUGGGAGAGUCCCAAGCUAGUCAAAGGACUAGCUUUUUCAUAUUCUGUCUCUAAAACAAUUUAGAAUGUUUUCAUAGCAAUAGUAUCAAACCUUCCUUCAGCUUAUUUGUGCUGUAGUAAAUAUUAUAGUCUACUCUUGAAGUUAACUGAAAUUGUUAAUUUUACCCUCUUUGGUCUUUCGUAUAUAACCACAAAAGUGAUAGCCGCAGCAGAACUUUCUCCCUAAUACUUAGCUGUCUCAGAAACCAAUUUCUAUAAAAAAUGGUGUCUGUACAUUAAUGCUAUUAUUAAUUUACAAAUUAUAGAGAACGGCAAGACUAUAAAAAUAUGUAUAUUUUCAGCUACUUUUAUAAACAGUAUCCAAGUUCAAUUCAUAAUUAUGAUUGUUAUCAUGAGGUUUAUUAAUCCUUGUCUGUUUAAAAACACUUGCAAAUAUCUGUAGUUUUUCAAAUUUUGGUGUGGAGUAGUUUGUCCAAAAACAGCAUAUGAGUGUGAAUUUCUGUUAGCUAGCUGCCACUGUGAAAUGUUAAAAACUAAAGUGCGACCAAUUAGAAAGAAAGAAAAGAAAAAAAAAAUUCAAACUCUAGGGACAUUUCUUGAUAGCAAAAUCCAGACAAACUCAUCUUGUUUAGUUGUGCUUGUGACCCUUUGCUUCUUGGUAUUUGCCAACAUUGGUUCUUGGGGAGUUGUAUGGUAGGCUACAUCAGAAAAUCUACCCAGCUGAAAUGCCCUCUUUUUCCUUCCCCCAGCUUGUCUUUAUUAAUAAGCCCUUCACUUUUUCCUUCCUGUUGCAGUUCUUGCCUUUGUUACCCAUAAAUUCCAUAAUCCCCACUCUCCUCUUUUAUACUUCCCUGUCUCUUCAGACAGAUCAGCUCCCUGAUCUUGUUUGCUGCAUAGCUCUGCCAGCAUAACAUUGGCUUGGAGGGAGAAUGAGCAGCUGGAAUGGGAAACAUCAAGCCAUUGAGGCAUGCUGCUGCCUAGUAUGAAACCACAGCCAUAGGUGACUCUACGUAAAUAGAAAAUUCCCCCUAAUUAGCUAUUUUGAACCAACAAUAUGCCAAGAAUUUCCCAAACAAAAUCAUAAGUGCUAAUAAACUGUGAAUAUGUGACAGACUUCAGGAUCUUUUUGAAAGUUACCUGUGAAGGGGAAAAAAUGAGAGAAAUUAACAAGAGUUAUUCACAAUGAAUUAUUUGAUCCUCUGUGGUCAUGGCUAUUUAUACACUGCAAUCACUAAAGGAAAUGAAAAACAUUUUGUGUUCCUUUUCCAAGUGCAUGGACUGUGUAUCCUGCUUGCUAAAAUGUAAAACUAAAAAUCCCAAACUGUUGCAGAUUAAAAGGAUUUGCUGGUUUAGUAGUUGAGCAAGUGCUACAGGAAUGACGAACAUUGUGAAAUACCAUCGCUUGUUUUUGUAACAGCUGCUCAAGAUAUUGCCUAAAGGUUUGGAGUUCUAGUGAGCCUGGAAGUACUUAAUGGAGAGUAAGAGGAGAAAGAAAAACAAAAAGGAAAAAAGGAAAAAGGUGUUUGGAAAUUUAUUGGGUAUUGACACCUGGUCUAUUGAUCUCUUAGAAAGGGUGGAGAAGAUGGAUAUAGCAAAGUCGUUUAUAAAAAGAAGGGUAAUGUUUUUCUUUCACAGCAUAUGAAUGCUGCCAAAAAAUGAAAAUCUGUCAAACACAGCUGGUCUCCCUAGACAGUUUGGGAGUGCCACCAGAGGUACAGCUUGUUUUGCUUUAGAAGAUUGUAUAACUCAGGAAAACAUGGAUUUGUAAAUAUGUCUUUUUCUUAUGAUUUUGUGAUUUUAGAAUUUUCGUAGUUUCUUUUCUGUAGUCUGAUAUCUGACUAUACCUGUCUCCCUAGUUUCUUCCAAUAGUCUCUUCCAGUAAUCUCUGCCAACUAAAAUUUUUCUCUCCAUAUUCAUAAAUUUCUUUAAUCUCUUCUAUACUUCGCUGUCUCUUCAGCUGUCCUUAAACAGGGAAACCAUGUUCAUGGAGACUGGCAUAAUUUCCUCCAAGAGCAAUAAUGGAGCAGAGAAGAUAGGUUUCCAUUGUUCAGAAACAUUAGGAAGUGGUGGGCAUCCUGGAUGAGGUUACUAUGUAAUGAGCUUUUGAAUAUAUUGGAACACUAUAGUCACACUCUCUGAGAGAGAAGAAAUCUCAUCUUUCUGAUCUUUCCCUUGUUAUUACCAACAGCAUGAGGAAAAAGUGCCCUAACCCCCCAAAUACUUUUGCUUUGAAGAGGCUACAUAUGACACCAUCAUUAUUUGCUUUGCUUGUGCCUGAACCUUCUCUAAGGACUACACAGAUAGACUUAUGUAGCAAAAUUAAACAAUUUGAAGACUUUUUCUAUACUCACUUGUUUUUCCCCCAAAGAGGAACUUCCUCAGACUCAACUAAUAGAACCAAAAAAAAAAAAAAAAAGCCAACAACAACAAAAAAAUGUAUUUUAUUUUCUGUCCCUUAAUUCUCUGUCUGAUUAAUCUGGAAAUGGGAAGCUCAUUGCCACUUUGCUGUCCAGUAUUAACUAGCAUGAAGAUGGUAAGAAAGUGAGUUGAGUGAGGGCUGCAGCUGAGCUGAAUAACAUAACGCAACUACUUGUACUGUUCAUUAGCCUUCUUGGUGCAAAGGUGGUUUUUGCCAAAAUGGUAUGUAUCUUUUAAUCUUAUUUCACAGAAAUAUGGGAAGAAAGAUAAAAGACUUCUGUGUAACUGAACUGCUUCAUAGAUGGAAGAGUCCUGAAGAAUUGUCCUAAAACUAUGUUCACUGGCUCUAUCACAUCUUAAAUUGUAUUACAGGAAAUUCAUCUUGGUCAAGUUGGUAUACGUCUGUUACAUAGUUUCCACUGAGCUGAAUGCCAAAGUCACAACAGAUGUUGUCUGAAGGAAAGCAAUGCCAUUUAUUAUCACACUGGAUGUUAAAGAUAGAACCAUAUUCAUUGUAAGAAUCUGAUGAAGAAGCUCUUGAAUGCAAAUGCUGUCCUGUAAAAAAACUGUGCUAGAAGCCGUUGACAAUGGUAAGUAAUUACUGAUUAGACUGUGUAGUAACUUACCUUUGAAGUGAAAGGUAAACCAAAAAUAAUGUUGAUUUUGCAUUCUUCUGGCACUCUGUACACUGUUCUUUAUAGGCAUAUUACAAAAAUCUGUGCUGUUAUUUUACUCGUACUUCUGAGUAUUUGUAGUUUACUGACUUUCACCAUUUCUUACUAUGGUGAAAAGAAAUUGAUAGCUCAUGAACAACCAAAGGAAGUGAGUUCCUGUUUGGCUGAGGAAGCAAGAUUCUGUCAUUCACUGUCUCACAGGGUGGGUUUUUCAAACUAGGCCCAGUGAUCUAUCACAGUAGGUUAGUAAAUACAAAUACUUACAUAUUAGAACUUAAUAAACAGGAAUAAUGUCUAAUCACGACAAAGCUGCAUUUUUUGAGUUUCCAGAGUUCUGUGUAACUUGUUUCUGAUAUUGCUGAGCUCUUGUUCCCUGUAGCUGGAUGUAUUCAGUGUGAACAUGCUAAUGAUCAGAUUUAGUUCACCCAGUUUUUGGAAAGAGGGCAAAAUUAAUUUAACUUUGAAUUUUCAGAGCACAUUGCUUCAGGUACUGGGAUAAUUUUGCUCUGUAGGCAGUAUACUCCUAGGACAAUUUUGUUGAAAGGAGCUGAAAUUUGCCUGGAAGUUUAAAGGAUCUUUUACACUACUGUCCAUUCCAUUCUGAAGCUUUAAAGCAUUUUCAUUGUGGCUGUCUGUCAAGGCACCAAGUUUGAAAUUCAUCCUGGCCACAGCAAGAAGCAAGCUAAUGUCUAUAUUAAAUUAUUUAACAUCGUGGAUUUAUUGGUAAUAGCACUGCCAUUGUUACUAAAAUGUUACUGUUGAAUCCAAGUAUCUAUUGCAUUACAGGUUCUGCAUAGAGAAUAUUUCUCUCUUCAUGUAUAAUGCUGACUUUUCACAAACAGGAUUGAAGGAAGUAUAGUGGCAUUUCUUUGCCAUUUUCUCUAAAUUGCCUUAAAAUUUAAAUUAGAUUGAAUGUAAGCAUGAAAAGAGUAUCAAUAGCAUGUAAGCUUCUGGUGGGUAAGCAAAUCUGGAUAUUCGGUUAUGUUCAGGUGCUUACCUCUUACAAGAUGAUGGCAUAAGUCAAUUUUCAGUUCCUUUGAUAGAGUAAUGUUUCCCUAAUGGAACUAUGGAACAACAUUAGACAGAUUUCUCAACACCUCCCAGAAGGCUGUAUAAAACAUAGUUUCCAGCGAUAGUCUCCUCCAGUUUUUAAUACUAUCUCUUUUUCUGUAGUAAUCAUAAUCCAUGUACAGUGUUUUCUCCUCUUUACAGACUGAUAAUGAGUGAAUGUUCAUGUGGUCUGUUACACAACACUAAGCUCUUAUUUCACUGUCUGCAGUUAUGUUCAUUUUGCUCUUAUCUUUAGCAAGGGCAUGCUAGCAACUGCUUCUUCAAGGUUACAGUGAGAUUCCUGGUGG
Long non-coding RNA from Tympanuchus pallidicinctus (lesser prairie-chicken), 11267 nucleotides. RefSeq lists it as uncharacterized. The record is from RefSeq and is a predicted model, not a curated record. NCBI's taxonomy places the organism in Eukaryota, Metazoa, Chordata, Aves, Galliformes, Phasianidae. The transcript is spliced from 4 exons.